AAUAACCAUACCGGGCCUAACGGUUUUGUAAUUGGAGGGAGGGAAGGAUAAACCCCUUUACGAGUUCCCAUUGGAGGGCAAGUUUGGGGCCCGCCGCCGCGGUAAUUCCAGCUUCCAUAGGGUAUUUUAAAGGUGUUGCCGUUAAAAAGCUUGUAGUUGGAUUUUUGUUGUAUAAUUUUAUAAUAUUACCAAGGUAAUUAUUAUAUUAUCAACAUCCUUCCUAUUAUAUUCUAAAUAUAUAGGAAACUUUACUUUG
Molecule: ribosomal RNA, 256 nt
Filed under: Cryptosporidium andersoni
Lineage: Eukaryota; Apicomplexa; Conoidasida; Eucoccidiorida; Cryptosporidiidae
Description: partial 18S ribosomal RNA
Rfam family: Eukaryotic small subunit ribosomal RNA
Source: RNAcentral